UUACAUAAAGCUAAGGCAUUUAAAUGUUAAUUAAAUUUUUCUCUUUUAAGAGUGUGUAAU
Molecule: transfer RNA, 60 nt
Filed under: Meghimatium bilineatum
Lineage: Eukaryota; Metazoa; Mollusca; Gastropoda; Stylommatophora; Philomycidae
Description: tRNA-Asn
Source: RNAcentral